Pseudopipra pipra is the source of this 1937-nucleotide long non-coding RNA. RefSeq lists it as uncharacterized. The record is from RefSeq and is a predicted model, not a curated record. NCBI's taxonomy places the organism in Eukaryota, Metazoa, Chordata, Aves, Passeriformes, Pipridae. The transcript has 3 exons.
GGGGUCCUUCUGAACGGUACCCGAGUCCCACUGUUCUCUCCCCUAAAUUAGCUCUAAAAGGGCCUCUUGGGAACAAGCCUGUGGCUUACUCCCUAGACACUAUCUCGAGGCAUUAAAGAACCCGGUAUAUAUUUUAAAGUAAAACUCCCCGCUGAGCUUGUUGGCACCACGGCAACCUGGUGGAAGGUGUCCCUGCCCGUGGCAGGAGAUGGGACAAGAUGAUCUUUAAGGUCCUUCUAACCCAAACCGUUCCGUGAUUCUAAUAAAUUCCAACAUACAGGUUAUAGGGAGCUACUAUCAAGUUGCAACAUGAUGGAUCCAUUAUCAUGAAUAGACAGUGUCUCAGAUGAGGAGGACAGAAAAAGUUUGCGGCAGAGAAGGACAGAAGGAAAAGGAAUUCAAGAUUUUUCAAAACAGGUGCCGAGAAGCAGACUUUCUUUCCUUGCUGCAGACAGCAGAUCAAACUCUGGAAAAGAAAAACUGGCCUUCUUUUAGCCUGUUUGAACACCGAGGCAUUGGCUGAGUUUGGCAGUAGUUCCUCAUCUCUGCUGUAUCCCAACUAUCCCUCCAGUGCUGUCGUGGGAAAAGUGUUUCUGCAAAUGCUCAUUUCUGGUAUGUCUCUUCACUAAUUCCUACACAUUCCACAGAAGGAGUAUGCAAUUUAUUCCUCAGAUGCACAAGUUACCUAAUUUCAACUGCUGCUUUCUGCUUUUGGUUAUAUGGUCACUACCCUAUAAGCCCAAACUCGCCGAAUUUUGGAGUUUCUCCACUGACUUUAGCAGGAUUUCAUUCACCUGACAGGUGCUCUAAGGAACUGAAAGGCAGCAAAUCUGAAAUAUCAGCUGGAGAGGGGCAUUUCUGUUCCCUUUUUUGUGGAAACACAUGACCAAGACCAAGAGAAAAUUCCUCUUGGCUACAGGCUUUUGUUUUUCCUCAACAGCCACCUGCAUUUGGUUCUGACCUGUGAUGCAACAUUAGGGGAAACACCACUAAAGAGAAGGCAACUCUAAUGGACAGAUACACAGAUUUUCAUCUUAAUUGCAUGUUUUUAGGGCUUCAAAGAGUGUUUCAGAAUCAUCAGUGUAUUAUAACAUUUUUUCUGAAAUGCAAUUAAUAUUUAUUGUAUGGAUUCUUUGGCCUUCCAAAGUAACAGUAUUGGUGUCAUUAAACAGAUGUAAUGAUUUUCUGACUCGGAGCUUGAAAUAAAUUCUGACUUUCCAUUCAGGCAAAACACACAGAUGCAAAGUUAGGGACAGUUGUGAAUGACAUCUAACCAACAAAUGGAGCUCAAACAGGAGGAAACACUGGAGAAGGAAAUUAAAGAAGGAGAAGGACUAUUAAAGAACAGCUCCAACGAUCUGGAUGUGCCACAGAAACAUCCCUGUCCCAACCACUGUGUAUCUCACUGGAAGAAACUGUGCUGUGGUCUCUGUGGUAGGCACUGUGCUUCCAUGGCAUUUUAAAGGAACAGAAUUUUCUGGAUCUUCCCCUUCUUAGUUAAUACCCAGGCACACCCUCACACAAACCAUAUGUUAAUAACUUCAGAGCACAAAUUUAAUUUAUCUCAGCUUUCCACCUGACAUCACUCCUGGUCACGUGGCGCAGACCCAUCCGUAAACAAAACGGGGAUUCAUUUCCAUAGCAACAGCGAGGGGGACUUUGAUCAGCUCCAAUGAUUAUUUGUAGGCACACAGACACCAAAACCCUAAGUGAGGCCUGAUUACCCUGGUUUUUGAGAUGCAGGCAGUUCAGUUGGUUUAUAUGGACAAGCAGGAACACGAGGUAGAGACGCUCAAAGCUCCCUGUGAAAGGCAAACGAAGCCACUGGUCAUUAGCCCGGUGUCCCUUCCAGUUCCUUGGGAAUCUGUACCUUCCUAAUGCCUCCAGUGUGAUGUGUGUGUCCUGUGACCAAUAAAGUGUGUUCUUUGUGCUCCCUG